Molecule: transfer RNA, 73 nt
Filed under: Fretibacterium fastidiosum
Lineage: Bacteria; Thermotogati; Synergistota; Synergistia; Synergistales; Aminobacteriaceae
Description: Synergistetes bacterium SGP1 tRNA
Rfam family: tRNA
About the family: Transfer RNA (tRNA) molecules are approximately 80 nucleotides in length.
Source: Rfam by way of RNAcentral
GGCGGGAUAGCUCAGAUGGUAGAGCAACGGACUGAAAAUCCGUGUGUCCCCAGUUCGAUUCUGGGUCCCGCCA